Molecule: long non-coding RNA, 567 nt
Organism: Bos taurus (domestic cattle)
Lineage: Eukaryota; Metazoa; Chordata; Mammalia; Artiodactyla; Bovidae
Source: Ensembl
AUGGCAUUGGUGCCUCUGUAUCCCUUUUAUCCCCUGCUCUCUCUGCCUCCCCUGUUUCCAUAUUCCCUCUCAGGCUACCGCAAUCCAAGACUUUUAUCUGACCUUUUUUCUGCCUCUUUUUCAUAUCUAGACAGGAGGUGAUUUCAGCAAAACUGACAAUUGAUCCAGUUGAAAACUCAACGAACUAUUACGACGUAACAGUCACCGUUAAAAGUUACGUGGCCAAAUGCUUAGUGGUUAGAGUCACGCUCGAGGCCUUCAGCAACAUCAUUUUUCCUUAUGGUACUUUUAUUUACACAGCCUGUUUGUGUGAUUUCAGUACAAGAAACUUCUUUUGGGAAAUACAAGCAUCAGAAAAUGGGAUCAUAAAAGGGAAAGCUGAAGUUGUGUCAGAAGAGAAUAUAUGCCCUUCUGAUGUGGAAAUCUGCUCCCUCGUUUACAAAGUCUGUAUCAAGCGUGAAAUCAUCAUAAGAUGCUGAUCUCAAAAGUCUGCUGAGUUUGUGGGCAUCUGUGUAGACAAGAAAAUAAAUUUCCUAUGGGCUUCUCACUGUCCUGCCUGUGUUCUCU